RNAcentral lists this long non-coding RNA (1297 nucleotides) under Anolis carolinensis (green anole). Its description in RNAcentral is "lncRNA (ENSACAG00000043509.1)". Lineage: Eukaryota; Metazoa; Chordata; Lepidosauria; Squamata; Anolidae. The record is from RNAcentral.
CAGCUGUUGAAUAAAUAGCAUACAGGAAUUUACAAAUCCCUCGUAACCGCAGAAAUAAACAAUACAGACACAUACUACACAGUGUCAGGUAAUACCCUCUUUCUCAGUCUUGCUGCCACUGCAAGGAACUUUGCCACCAUGAGGGUCACCCUGUGGUGCUUGUCCUCCAAAAGAUGUCUGACCUUCCCUUGCGGGCAAUGGUCGGACAUUCGGGUCAGGAUUGGGUGUAAGAGUUGGUCAGGUUGAGCUGAGUAAUAGAACAGAACUAUGAUAUAUUAGAUAACUGAGUGGAUAAUAUAUAAUGGAAGAGGGUGGAGAAAUGAGGUACUAGAUAAAUGAUGUGUAUGUACUGAAUGUGCAAAUCUACUCACAAUACAAAAUAUAAUAUCAAUAAAAAUAUAUUUAUUUUUAAUAAGUUAAAUUAAACUUCAUUCUUGCAAGUAUAAGCAAGAUAAGGAAUAAAGUCUGAAGAUGCUGCUAUUUUCUAAACCACACUUUGGAUGGAUUAAUCAGGGAAAAGAUGGUUUCUCUUAAACCUUUCUACCCACUCAAUUCUUACAAUGAAUACAAUAUGGCCCCCAAAUCUAUGUGGGAAACCUUCCUAUAUUUUGUCUGGGUAUGCAAAACCAUGAAUAGUAGUGAAGCCUAAUAAAAUAUAGGGCAUCUAGUCUUAAAAAAAUCCCAUAGAAUCACUAUGAAAGACCUAAAAAUGCCCAGAGAAGCAUUGUUGGAAGUGGAUAAAUGAAAUUGUGGGUAUUCCAUGGAUACAUGGGUUGUACUCCAUGUGAAAAUUAAGGAAAUGUUUAUUUUUGUUGUUUGUUGAUUCUGCUUAUUCCUCUUCCAUGCACUUAUUGCAGCUCUCCAGAAUGCUCAGCAGGUUUUCAGAAAGAUCAACAAAGACAUGGUGAACAUUGAGGAUCUGCAUCCAGUUUUGUCAUCUUUAGGGGUUACCAUGAGCUCGAAGAUUGUACAACAGGCAUUGGGAUGCACUCAGGUUACCUGUGAGUAUUAUUUAUUUGCCAUAUUUAAACCCCGCCCUUCUCUCCAAAGAGGACUCAGUGCAGCUCACAUAUAUAUAGGCAAUAAUUUGAGGAGAUGAGCACCAACCCCCAGAGUCUGACACGACUGGACUUAAUGUCAGGGGAAAACCUUUACCUUUAUCUUUACCUAUGUUUUAAAGUUAUUGAAAAGUUAUUCAUGACAUGAGUCUCAUUCCAUAUGGAUGAAAACAGGAGAUUUGUUUUCUUCCGCCCUGUAAUUGGCAGUGCUGAAGGAUACUUUCAAUGCUAUGAGUAAU